This 253-nucleotide ribosomal RNA is filed under the name uncultured bacterium. Its description in RNAcentral is "partial 16S ribosomal RNA". It matches the Rfam family "Bacterial small subunit ribosomal RNA", at positions 524 to 776 of the family's 1533-position model. The record is from RNAcentral.
GACGUAGGGCGCGAGCGUUGUCCGGAGUUACUGGGCUUAAAGGGUGCGUAGGCGGCGCGGAAAGUAGGGUGUGAAAUCCCUCGGCUCAACCGAGGAACUGCGCUCUAAACUACCGUGCUCGAGGGAGAUAGAGGUAAGCGGAACUUAGGGUGGAGCGGUGAAAUGCGUUGAUAUCCUAAGGAACACCGGUGGCGAAAGCGGCUUACUGGAUCUCUUCUGACGCUGAGGCACGAAAGCUAGGGUAGCGAACGGG